Molecule: ribosomal RNA, 492 nt
Filed under: uncultured bacterium
Lineage: Bacteria
Description: partial 16S ribosomal RNA
Rfam family: Bacterial small subunit ribosomal RNA
Source: RNAcentral
AGUGAACGCUGGCGGUAGGCCUAACACAUGCAAGUCGAACGGCAGCACAGUAAGAGCUUGCUCUUACGGGUGGCGAGUGGCGGACGGGUGAGGAAUACAUCGGAAUCUACUUUUUCGUGGGGGAUAACGUAGGGAAACUUACGCUAAUACCGCAUACGACCUACGGGUGAAAGCAGGGGAUCUUCGGACCUUGCGCGAUUGAAUGAGCCGAUGUCGGAUUAGCUAGUUGGCGGGGUAAAGGCCCACCAAGGCGACGAUCCGUAGCUGGUCUGAGAGGAUGAUCAGACACACUGGAACUGAGACACGGUCCAGACUCCUAAGGGAGGCAGCAGUGGGGAAUAUUGGACAAUGGGCGCAAGCCUGAUCCAGCCAUACCGCGUGGGUGAAGAAGGCCUUCGGGUUGUAAAGCCCUUUUGUUGGGAAAGAAAAGCAGCAGGUUAAUACCCCGCUGUUCUGACGGUACCCAAAGAAUAAGCACCGGCUAACUUCGUG